Molecule: ribosomal RNA, 513 nt
Filed under: Theodoxus anatolicus
Lineage: Eukaryota; Metazoa; Mollusca; Gastropoda; Cycloneritida; Neritidae
Description: partial 16S ribosomal RNA
Rfam family: Bacterial large subunit ribosomal RNA
Source: RNAcentral
GUCUCUUAGAAACUAUUAAGAGUCAGGCCUGCCCAGUGAUUGCUUUUUUUUAACGGCCGCGGUACCCUGACCGUGCAAAGGUAGCAUAAUCAUUUGCCUUUUAAUUGGAGGCUGGUAUGAACGGUUUGACGAGAGUAAAGCUGUCUCACACACAUUAAGUAGAAACUAAUUUAAAGGUGCAAAAGCCUUUAUAAAACAAAAAGACGAGAAGACCCUGUUGAGCUUUAAUUUUAAUGAGCAUCAACUUUAUAUUAAUAUAAUUAGUUUGUUCAAUAAAAAUUUUAAUUGGGGCGAUUAAGGAACACAAUAAAGCUUCCUGAUUUUAAUAUUAAAUAUUUAUAAAUUAAAUCGAUCCAGCAAUGCUGAUCAACAAAACGAGUUACCACAGGGAUAACAGCAUAAUUCUUUUUCAGAGCUCAUAUCGAAAAAAGAGAUUGUGACCUCGAUGUUGGACUAGGGUAACGAGAAGGUGUAGCAGCUUUCUUGCUUGGUCUGUUCGACCAAUAAUUCCCU